GAUGAACGCUGGCGGCGUGCCUAAUACAUGCAAGUCGAGCGAACAGACGAGGAGCUUGCUCCUCUGACGUUAGCGGCGGACGUGUGAGUAACACGUGUAUAACCUACCUAUAAGACUGGGAUAACUUCGGGAAACCGGAUCUAAUACCGGAUAACAUGUUGAACCGCAUGGUUCAACAGUGAAAGACGGUCUUGCUGUCACUUAUAGAUGGUUCCGCGCCGCAUUAGCUAGUUGGUAAGGUAACGGCUUACCAAGGCAACGAUGCGUAGCCGACCUGAGAGGGUGAUCGGCCACACUGGAACUGAGACACGGUCCAGACUACUACGGGAGGCAGCAGUAGGGAAUAUUCCGCAAUGGGCGAAAACCUGACGGAGCAACGCCGCGUGAGUGAAGAAGGUCUGCGGAUCGUAAAACUCUGUUAUUAGGGAAGAACAAAUGUGUAAGUAAAUAUGCACGUAUUGACGGUACCUAAUCAGAAAGCCACGGCUAACUACGUG
RNAcentral lists this ribosomal RNA (497 nucleotides) under uncultured bacterium. RNAcentral's name for it is "partial 16S ribosomal RNA". It matches the Rfam family "Bacterial small subunit ribosomal RNA", at positions 28 to 507 of the family's 1533-position model. The record is from RNAcentral.